RNAcentral lists this transfer RNA (83 nucleotides) under Bacteroidota bacterium. Its description in RNAcentral is "tRNA-Leu". It matches the Rfam family "tRNA". Rfam says of the family: Transfer RNA (tRNA) molecules are approximately 80 nucleotides in length. Lineage: Bacteria; Pseudomonadati; Bacteroidota. The record is from RNAcentral.
GCGCUUAUGGUGGAAUGGUAGACACGCUAGUCUUAGGAACUAGUACUGAAAUACGUGUGUCAGUUCGAGUCUGACUAGGCGCA